Molecule: non-coding RNA, 650 nt
Organism: Physcomitrium patens
Lineage: Eukaryota; Viridiplantae; Streptophyta; Bryopsida; Funariales; Funariaceae
Source: RefSeq, a predicted model, not a curated record
UGGAGCUCUGGGCUCUGUCGUAGGCCUACUCAAGUCUGUCAUUAAAUCAUAUUUCAAGUAUCUUUCGUCAGUUGGCCUGUGGUGGCACUCAGAUUGAUGAAUGAACUCCCCCUUCCAACACCAAUUUUUUCAAGUCCGCUGGAAAUCAGACUUUUCCUCGACACUUUUUCCUUCUUCCUGCACAACGGCCGGUGAAAUCCGUAAGUUUCUACCGCAGCUACUCUGUGUCAGACGUCGUCAGUACGACUACAUGUCAAAGACUUGCAGAGAUCACUAAUAUACAUUACCUUGUGGACAAAUUCGCGAUUUUCCAAACGCUCUUACUUGCGAUGCAAACUCAAACAGUGUCAGACUCGUUAGGCUUGUAAGCAUGAUUCAGCUCAAGUAACGCACUUCAGCGACGUUGCUUCAAUACUCUCACUGGUCUUGACGGCUUUCCAAGUUACUGACUCCCUCACAAAGUGGCCGUGAAAGGCUUAGGGUUUACAGAAACUUGAAGCACACGCGACAACAGUUUCAGUUAACUCUGACCCAGCCACAACGUUUCCAGUCCGUAUCUAACUCGCCUGAAAUCUUAAAAGUUACUUAUCAUGUUAUAUCAGCGGAAUUGACGACACCAUUUUUUUAAAUAUUUUAUUUCUUCAGGUGGA